GGGAGGAGGUGGAAUUGCAUUUCUGCCGCUAAAGCGUUCGCGGAGACUUCAAGGUAUAAUCUAUCCCAGAUCCUUUCCCAGAGAGAAACUUGGCGAUCACGUUUCCACAUGAUGCUCACGUUUGGUGCUCUCCAAUUAUCCCUCCCCACAAAGAUAGGUGGCGUGUGUUGCAGGGUCUCUCCUCUCGCUCGUACAGAAAAGAAAAAGAAAAAAAUGUCAUUAGAAGAGGCGUAACACGUCAGUCCGUCCCCAGGAGCUGCAUCUCCCUUCACCUUUUCUCCUCCACUUCGCGGCUUCUUCAUGCUUUUUCUUCUCACCAUUUCUGGCCAAAACUACAAACAAGACUUCGCAGAGCCUGCGUGCUGCUGCUGCCGCUGCCGCUGCCGCUGCUGCUGAAUCAGGGAGUCGAGCCCAUGCGAACUGCCAUCUGAUCCACUCUUAUCAAUGAAGCAGCAGAUCAUGGCGGAUGGCCCCAGGUGUAAGAGGCGAAAACAAGCCAACCCCCGGAGGAAAAACGGUAAGACGGCCCCCCGGGAAAACUUUUCCGGCCGGUUCCGCCGCGGCCGCGGGGGGAAAGGCGGCGGCAGGACGGGGGAGCGGGACGGGGAGGGGGG
This 614-nucleotide long non-coding RNA is filed under the name Chloebia gouldiae (Gouldian finch). Its description in RNAcentral is "Erythrura gouldiae (Gouldian finch) lncRNA (ENSEGOG00005017528.1)". Lineage: Eukaryota; Metazoa; Chordata; Aves; Passeriformes; Passeridae. The record is from RNAcentral.